RNAcentral lists this ribosomal RNA (406 nucleotides) under Aegla longirostri complex sp. UFSM 4793. RNAcentral's name for it is "partial 16S ribosomal RNA". The record is from RNAcentral. RNAcentral also lists the same sequence under 3 other names. Lineage: Eukaryota; Metazoa; Arthropoda; Malacostraca; Decapoda; Aeglidae.
CAUUUGUCUUUUAAUUGAAGACUUGUAUGAAUGGUUGAACGAGAAAAUAACUGUCUCUUUAAAAAAUCUUGAAUUUUACUUUUAAGUGAAAAGGCUUAAAUAAUUUUAAGGGACGAUAAGACCCUAUAAAUCUUUAUAUUAUUUUCUUUAACUUUCAAAUUAUAUAUUAAAAGAAAAACAAAGAAAAAAUAUUCUAUUGGGGAGAUAAAAAUAUAAUUUUUAACUGUUUUAAACAUAAAACAAUAAUUUUUGAUUUAUUAAAAAAUGAUCCUUUUUAAAGAUUUUAAGAUUAAGUUACUUUAGGGAUAACAGCGUAAUUUUUUUUGAGAGUUCUUAUCGAAAAAAAAGUUUGCGACCUCGAUGUUGAAUUAAAAUAUCCUUAUAAGUGUAGAAGCUAUAAAGGAAA